Molecule: long non-coding RNA, 190 nt
Organism: Etheostoma spectabile (orangethroat darter)
Lineage: Eukaryota; Metazoa; Chordata; Actinopteri; Perciformes; Percidae
Exons: 3
Source: RefSeq, a predicted model, not a curated record
GAAAUUACAUGAAAUAUCUUUACUAAAUUACAUGAAUUGCUAAAGUAAGAUAGACAAAACAUACACAAUUACUUAAAAUACAUUUUAUUUAUGAAGCACUUUUCAGGGUACUCAAAGACAAUUUACAUAAAUUCAAAUUAUUAUAGAAAAUAGCACACUAUAACACAUUAAAAUCGAUUCUUGUAUUUAG